This 501-nucleotide ribosomal RNA is filed under the name uncultured bacterium. Its description in RNAcentral is "partial 16S ribosomal RNA". It matches the Rfam family "Bacterial small subunit ribosomal RNA", at positions 29 to 523 of the family's 1533-position model. The record is from RNAcentral.
AUUGAACGCUGGCGGCAUGCCUUACACAUGCAAGUCGAACGGCAGCACGGGUGCUUGCACCUGGUGGCGAGUGGCGAACGGGUGAGUAAUACAUCGGAACGUACCUUAUCGUGGGGGAUAACGCAGCGAAAGCUGUGCUAAUACCGCGUACGCCCUGAGGGGGAAAGCGGGGGAUCGCAAGACCUCGCGCGAUUGGACCGGCCGAUGCCUGAUUAGCUUGUUGGUGGGGUAAAAGCCCACCAAGGCGACGAUCAGUAGCUGGUCUGAGAGGACGAUCAGCCACACUGGGACUGAGACACGGCCCAGACUCCUACGGGAGGCAGCAGUGGGGAAUUUUGGACAAUGGGGGCAACCCUGAUCCAGCAAUGCCGCGUGAGUGAAGAAGGCCUUCGGGUUGUAAAGCUCUUUUGUCAGGGAAGAAACACCGGCUCUAACACAGUCCGGGAAUGACGGUACCUGAAGAAUAAGCACCGGCUAACUACGUGCCAGCCGCCGCCGUAA